RNAcentral lists this ribosomal RNA (448 nucleotides) under uncultured Planctomycetota bacterium. RNAcentral's name for it is "bacterial SSU rRNA". It matches the Rfam family "Bacterial small subunit ribosomal RNA", at positions 217 to 656 of the family's 1533-position model. The record is from RNAcentral. Lineage: Bacteria; Pseudomonadati; Planctomycetota.
GCUUAGAGAGGGGUCAAUGUCCUAUCAGCUAGUUGGUAGGGUAAUGGCCUACCAAGGCUAAGACGGGUAGCUGGCCUGAGAGGGUGGUCGGCCACACUGGGACUGAGACACUGCCCAGACUCCUACGGGAGGCUGCAGUCGAGAAUCUUUCGCAAUGCCCGAAAGGGUGACGAAGCGACGCCGCGUGUGGGAAGAAGGCCUCCGGGUUGUAAACCACUGUCGGGAGUUAAGAAAUGCAAGGAUGUUAAUAGCAUCCUUGCUUGACUAAGGCUCCGGAGGAAGCCACGGCUAACUCUGUGCCAGCAGCCGCGGUAAUACAGAGGCGGCAAGCGUUGUUCGGAAUUAUUGGGCGUAAAGAGCACGUAGGCGGCUUUGUAAGUCAGUCGUGAAAGCCUUCUGCUCAACGGAAGAACAGCAUCUGAUACUGCAAGGCUAGAGUGCGGAAGGG